GAUGAACGCUGGCCGCGUGCUUAACACAUGCAAGUCGAACGGAAAGGCCGAAGCUUGCUUCGGUACUCGAGUGGCGAACGGGUGAGUAACACGUGGGUGAUCUGCCCUGUACUUCGGGAUAAGCUUGGGAAACUGGGUCUAAUACCGGAUAUGACGAUCUCUUGGAUGGGGUUGUGGAAAGCUUUUGCGGUAUGGGAUGAGCUCGCGGCCUAUCAGCUUGUUGGUGGGGUAAUGGCCUACCAAGGCGUCGACGGGUAGCCGGCCUGAGAGGGUGUACGGCCACAUUGGGACUGAGAUACGGCCCAGACUCCUACGGGAGGCAGCAGUGGGGAAUAUUGCACAAUGGGCGCAAGCCUGAUGCAGCGACGCCGCGCGGGGGAUGACGGCCUUCGGGUUGUAAACUCCUUUCGCAAUCGACGAAGCCUUUUGGUGACGGUAGGUGGAGAAGAAGCACCGGCUAACUACGUG
RNAcentral lists this ribosomal RNA (468 nucleotides) under uncultured bacterium. Its description in RNAcentral is "partial 16S ribosomal RNA". It matches the Rfam family "Bacterial small subunit ribosomal RNA", at positions 28 to 507 of the family's 1533-position model. The record is from RNAcentral.